CCUANGGGGGGCAGCAGUCGAGAAUUUUUCUCAAUGGGGGAAACCCUGAAGGAGCGACGCCGCGUGGAGGAUGAAGGUCUUCGGAUUGUAAACUCCUGUCAUUAGGGAACAAAUCUUCCAAGUAACUACUGGAAGUCUGAUAGUACCUGAAGAGGAAGAGACGGCUAACUCUGUGCCAGCAGCCGCGGUAAUACAGAGGUCUCAACCGUUGUUCGGAUUCAUUGGGCGUAAAGGGUGCGUAGGCGGCGGAGUAAGUCAGGUGUGAAAUCUCGGGGCUCAACCCCGAAACUGCACUUGAUACUGCUUCGCUAGAGUAUUGGAGAGGAGAUUGGAAUUUACGGUGUAGCAGUGAAAUGCGUAGAUAUCGUAAGGAAGACCAGUGGCGAAGGCGAAUCUCUGGACAAUUACUGACGCUGAGGCACGAAGGCCAGGGGAGCAAACGGGAUUAGAUACCCGGNUANUC
This 463-nucleotide ribosomal RNA is filed under the name uncultured bacterium. RNAcentral describes it as "bacterial SSU rRNA". It matches the Rfam family "Bacterial small subunit ribosomal RNA", at positions 338 to 795 of the family's 1533-position model. The record is from RNAcentral.